Molecule: long non-coding RNA, 1975 nt
Organism: Gorilla gorilla gorilla (western lowland gorilla)
Lineage: Eukaryota; Metazoa; Chordata; Mammalia; Primates; Hominidae
Exons: 4
Source: RefSeq, a predicted model, not a curated record
ACAGCUUCCGAGUAUCUUAAUCUAUUCCAUAUUCUGGGAGGUUCUUAGAAGGGGAGGGUAACCAUUCAUUCUCCCACAGUCACUCCACGCUUGCUUUCCCACUCACAUCCUCUUGGGAUUGACAGCAGUAGGGUAACAGAGUUCUGCCUUCCCUGAUGCUGCGUGGCUCCUUGGCCUUCACUUAAUCAAGGCCAUUGCUGUGAAAGUAAGCUGUGCACAAGGGGGCCUGCCCAGAAGAAAGCAGGGAGCUAUGGCAUUGCCUUCUCCCAGCUUAAAUGGAGUAUCUAAUUAAAGCCACACCACCACUGUUAAAGAAAUGUAAGGAGCAAAAAGGAGCAAACACACGGAGGUUCAUCUGCCAAUGACAAAGCUGGAAUUAAGAGGAGCCAACCCAUGUGAAAAACUUCCAGGGCUUAAGAUCAAGUCAUUGAAAGGAGGGAUCAAAUCCUAAUUUCUGGAACACCAGAAUUUGGAAUUAAGUUCUCAAUAAUUCUUGUGGAAUUAGAUUUGGCACCAGAACCCCACAAUUUCUACAGACCGGCAAGAAUUCACAGAUCAAAUUUCAGGACUGUUUUUAGCUCAGUACAAGAUAGUUGGUGGUGAGAAUUUUAAAAUAAAAAUGAAACCCUAGAGAUAAGUUUCUUUUAAAAUUUUUACAGAUAUAGACACAGUUAUCCCCUUUUCUGGAAUUCAUAGCAAACAUCAGGAACUAAGAUAUUAUAAUUACCUCUAAAUUUUGACAAUUUCUCAAAAAUUGCUAAAGUUCGUUCAGGAAAGAUAGAGAAGAUGCGACGCUGUGGAUGACCUGCUUUGUUAGCCAGAAGGACAGAAGAGAACCCACCGUGGACUUUGCUUCCACUCUGGGCCAGUGGGUAACCAUUCAUUUGAAGAAGGUGGCAUCGAGAAGUCAGUAAAGGUGGGGGACCCCCUUCGUGGAUCCCGUAUAGCAGGAGAGAGAAACGGUGGUGUUGGUGGCAGUGAUGAAUGUGGCCUUCUGGUCCUGCGUAGGAAAGCUGUAAACUCAUGGGUUCAAUUCCCAGGAUAGGAGGGUGGGGUCUGGAGAAGAGCAGCAUGGCCUGAGCCUUAGCAGACAUGCUUAGUGAUUGCAUCCCACUGACAAGGAGACACAGCCACGGCUUUUGUUCUGCAUGCCUGGAAAGGCAGGCCAGAGCAGGAGAGCCAUCCAAAAGCAAGAAAAACCAUUUCCUCACAAAAGGAGAGGUUAUUCUCUUAUUUUCUUUUCCCCUGGAGCCUGAGUCAGGCAAGAAAGCAACACCCUAAGGUCAGAUCGAAGUCACAGAGAUGAGAGCUCCAUUCAGGUUCAAUUUGACAGGCUGAAAGACACUCAUAGCCCAGAUGGGCAAUAAACCAGAAGAGCCACAGCAGCAGAAGCAAUGCCUUAUUCCCAAAUAUUGCUUGGAGCCCAAGAACAGUCUCUUGCAUUUCAGCUCAUACUCCCCACACAGCAAACCAAGCUGUGCUCUUUCUGGGUGGCUGGCUCAAAGAAUCAUACAUUACAGUGGAAACUCCCAUUUACUUCAUUUACUGCCAUUUAUAAUAUUUUCCACUAUUUGUAGAUAAUGAAUUCAUCCUUUUUUUUUUCUUUUUUGUCAAAACUUAUGCAGGCCACUCCAAAAGCCAAAAAUGUUCCAAAAUCUUACUCGAAUGUGUUCCCCUUCGUUUUCUCUGAUAGCUUUAAUGGUUUCUUUGGAAUUGCCACAAUAUCAACCAAAUUAACAAUGCUGAGCAAUAAAAAUUGUUACCUUCAUUCCUGAGUGCCAAGGGGCCUUUUGAAUGAGGAUGCUUAAAGAAGAGAGGUUAAUUAAAGUCACUCCCAGAAAAAUAACCACCCACCACAAAAAGUUUCUCCCCAGCCCAGUCUAGCUCUGUAUCAUAGUUAUUGACAAUCUCCAGUUUAUUUGAAACUCAUUUAACAUGCAGGACUGAAACCAUGAAUUUUGUCAAUGGAAUUACA